RNAcentral lists this ribosomal RNA (608 nucleotides) under uncultured bacterium. RNAcentral describes it as "bacterial SSU rRNA". It matches the Rfam family "Bacterial small subunit ribosomal RNA", at positions 8 to 594 of the family's 1533-position model. The record is from RNAcentral.
AGAGUUUGAUCCUGGCUCAGAACGAACGUUGGCGGCGUGCUUAACACAUGCAAGUCGAACGAGAAAGUUCCUUCCGGGACGAGUAAAGUGGCGCACGGGUGAGUAACACGUAGAUAAUCUGUCCAGGUGUUCGGGAUAGCCCUUCGAAAGGGGGAUUAAUACCGGAUACGUUGGUCUUUCAUAAGGAAGAUCAAGAAAGGUGGCCUCUAUUUAUAAGCUAUUGCAUUUGGAGGAGUCUGCGUACCAUUAGUUUGUUGGUGGGGUAAUGGCCUACCAAGACUUCGAUGGUUAGCGGGUCUGAGAGGAUGAUCCGUCACACUGGCACUGAAACACGGGCCAGACUCCUACGGGAGGCAGCAGUGAGGAAUAUUGCGCAAUGGGGGAAACCCUGACGCAGCGACGCCGCGUGGGUGAGGAAGGCUUUCGGGUCGUAAAGCCCUGUCAGGUGGGAAGAAAUGGUUAAUAGUUAAUAUCUGUUAGCUUUGACGGUACCACCAAAGGAAGCACCGGCUAACUCCGUGCCAGCAGCCGCGGUAAUACGGAGGGUGCAAACGUUGUUCGGAAUCACUGGGCGUAAAGGGCGCGCAGGCGGUUUGAUUAGUCAGAUG